Molecule: ribosomal RNA, 468 nt
Filed under: uncultured bacterium
Lineage: Bacteria
Description: partial 16S ribosomal RNA
Rfam family: Bacterial small subunit ribosomal RNA
Source: RNAcentral
GACGAACGCUGGCGGCGUGCUUAACACAUGCCAGUCGAACGGAAAGGCCCUGCUUUUGUGGGGUGCUCGAGUGGCGAACGGGUGAGUAACACGUGAGUAACCUGCCCUUGACUUUGGGAUAACUUCAGGAAACUGGGGCUAAUACCGGAUAGGAGCUCCUGCUGCAUGGUGGGGGUUGAAAAGUUUCGGCGGUUGGGGAUGGACUCGCGGCUUAUCAGCUUGUUGGUGGGGUAGUGGCUUACCAAGGCUUUGACGGGUAGCCGGCCUGAGAGGGUGACCGGCCACAUUGGGACUGAGAUACGGCCCAGACUCCUACGGGAGGCAGCAGUGGGGAAUAUUGCACAAUGGGCGGAAGCCUGAUGCAGCAACGCCGCGUGCGGGAUGACGGCCUUCGGGUUGUAAACCGCUUUCGCCUGUGACGAAGCGUGAGUGACGGUAAUGGGUAAAGAAGCACCGGCUAACUACGUG